RNAcentral lists this long non-coding RNA (615 nucleotides) under Homo sapiens (human). RNAcentral's name for it is "HSALNT0015542". The record is from RNAcentral. Lineage: Eukaryota; Metazoa; Chordata; Mammalia; Primates; Hominidae.
UUAUCAGUUUGUUAUUAAUACAAAUGUCCCAUGCCAUCUGUGGGAUGCCCUAAGUCUGUUGCAAAGUUCAAAAACCUAUUUUAAAAAAAAAUUGUACCAGGUGAUUUGGAUACACAGCCAAUGGUGGAGAAGCCCUGUUGGAAGCUCCUAUUUGGAAAUGCACAAAUAAAUUCACGUCAGGUCCUAGAAGGGCAUACUGUUGAGUCUGCUAUCAAAAAGUUUUCCCCUCCAAAAUUCCUAACAUGGUUUCAAGUUUUUAACUUCCAUUAAACAUUUAUGUAAGUUGCCACCAGGUGGAACAAGUGCCUAUUGUUUUAACCCAUCUGUGUUUAAGAGAAGAGGAAGUUUGCAUUAAGAAAUGCUCCCGCCACCCACCACCCGAGCAAUUAGAGUAAUGGUUUUCAGAAUUCAGAUUGAACACGUGUUUACAAGCACCCAGGGUUUGAGUGUUGAAUGUUGGAUUCUGACCCUGUGAAAGGCCAAGAUGUAAGUAGUGAGAAUAGACUCUUUUUCCGCACCAGGUGUGCUGCUGAACAAAUGCUUUUCAUCAUACAGCAUCUCAUUUAAUCUGCCACAACUCAGCCAGGUGGGAACCUUGUUUUUCAGAUAAAAACA